AACGAACGCUGGCGGCAGGCCUAACACAUGCAAGUCGAGCGCGACCUUCGGGUUGAGCGGCGGACGGGUUAGUAACGCGUGGGAACGUGCCUUUCUCUACGGAAUAGCCUCGGGAAACUGAGAGUAAUACCGUAUACGCCCUUCGGGGAAAGAUUUAUCGGAGAGAGAUCGGCCCGCGUUAGAUUAGAUAGUUGGUGGGGUAAUGGCCUACCAAGUCUACGAUCUAUAGCUGGUUUUAGAGGAUGAUCAGCAACACUGGGACUGAGACACGGCCCAGACUCCUACGGGAGGCAGCAGUGGGGAAUCUUAGACAAUGGGCGCAAGCCUGAUCUAGCCAUGCCGCGUGAGUGAUGAAGGCCUUAGGGUCGUAAAGCUCUUUCGCCAGGGAUGAUAAUGACAGUACCUGGUAAAGAAACCCCGGCUAACUCGUGCCAGCCGCCGCGGUAAU
RNAcentral lists this ribosomal RNA (448 nucleotides) under uncultured bacterium. RNAcentral's name for it is "bacterial SSU rRNA". It matches the Rfam family "Bacterial small subunit ribosomal RNA", at positions 29 to 524 of the family's 1533-position model. The record is from RNAcentral.